AUGCAUCAUAAUAUUCUAUAUAAAUUCAAAGUCUCAAGGAUCGCUAGUUCACCACUUAAUAUCUCAAGGUCUCUACUAGUCAACAAAAAGAAGCAUCGCGAAUUCGACAACACCACAUCCAUUAAGGUCUGCGCCAGUUCGACAAAAAGAAGAAUCACCAGUUCGGCACUUAAGCUCUCAAACAAACGGAGCACAGAUCGACAGCUUCUCAGUUUACAAAACCACGAAUCGACAGCUUCUCAGUUUACUGUAACUGAAAUUCCUGCACAUGUUAGUAAGCAAAUACAUAUCGGGCUCACAAUUAACAAGCUACUUAAAAAUGGGAGUUUCAUCUGUUUCUCAGAUGUGAAAAAUGACAGGAUAGAAUCCGAUAGAAAGUAUACAAACAUUAGAACUGCAGGCUAUUUGAGUAGACAGGGCUGGAGGUUCUAA
This 432-nucleotide ribosomal RNA is filed under the name Triticum aestivum (bread wheat). Its description in RNAcentral is "partial small subunit ribosomal RNA". Lineage: Eukaryota; Viridiplantae; Streptophyta; Magnoliopsida; Poales; Poaceae. The record is from RNAcentral.